This 434-nucleotide ribosomal RNA is filed under the name uncultured bacterium. RNAcentral's name for it is "bacterial SSU rRNA". It matches the Rfam family "Bacterial small subunit ribosomal RNA", at positions 855 to 1290 of the family's 1533-position model. The record is from RNAcentral.
AAGCAUUAAGUUAUCCACCUGGGGAGUACGUCGGCAACGAUGAAACUCAAAGGAAUUGACGGGGGCCCGCACAAGCGGAGGAACAUGUGGUUUAAUUCGAUGAUACGCGAGGAACCUUACCUGGGCUCGAACGCAGGGGGAAUGUAGGAGAAAUCUUACAGCUAGCAAUAGCCGCCUGCGAGGUGCUGCUUGGUUGUCGUCAGCUCGUGUCGUGAGAUGUUGGGUUAAGUCCCGCAACGAGCGCAACCCUUAUGGUUAGUUGCCAGCACGAAAGGUGGGAACUCUAAUCAGACUGCCGGGGAUAACUCGGAGGAAGGUGGGGACGACGUCAAAUCAUCAUGCCCCUUAUGUCCUGGGCUACACACGUGCUACAAUGGCCGGUACAGAGGGAAGCGAAACCGUAAGGUGAAGCGAAUCCCAAAAAACCGGUCCCA